Molecule: transfer RNA, 69 nt
Filed under: Scaphiopus holbrookii (eastern spadefoot toad)
Lineage: Eukaryota; Metazoa; Chordata; Amphibia; Anura; Pelobatidae
Description: tRNA-Ser
Source: RNAcentral
GAGAUAGACUGGGGCAUCGAGAACUGCUAAUUACUCGCCACCGCGGUUCAAUUCCGCGGCUAACUCGGC